CUGGGCGGUGCCUCUGAGGGUGCAGGUGUAUUUUUGUGUGUGUCCUGGGACUUGGUCUUCGAGUCUCAAAGAGCCAUUUUUAUAUUCUUUAUGUUAGCUGUAUUGAUCAUUACAAUAAUCAUAUGUUAUAAAGUGGAUGAAAGUAGGGGAGGAAAAAUAUCCGAGGCCUCAUUUGGGGGAACGAAACCUCAGAAGAAUCCUUAGAGUUUGGUAAAAUGCUCGAGUGAACAGCUUUACUCUACAACAGUGCUUCUCAAAUUAUAUGUAGGGAAUGAUCAAAUUAUUUUUUUAAAUUUCCAGUUAGUUGUGAACCAUGCUUUGGUAAGGGAAAGUAAAAAUAUUGGAAAUAUUUUAUCAUUGGAGUCAACCGCCGUAAAAUGACCCGUAAAGGUUUCGAAACGUUCGUUCUCAAUUUCCGUGUUUGUUUCGUGGACCAGUAACAAACAGUAAUACGAAGGGCCCAGGUCUGUGGAUCACACUUUUGAAUAGCAAGACUGCUCUACAGCUUGAAGGAAAUAAGAUUACUUUGGAGAACAUCAUAAUCCCUCCAGGAAAUCAGCCCAGCAGUCAACUAUUUGGGCACUGAGGAAAGGCCUUGUGAACACAUAACAAGAAGGUGGCUGCCUGCAAACCAGGAAGAGAGGCCUCACCUGAAACCAAAUCAACCAGAAUCUUCAUGUUAGACUUCUAGCCUCCAGAUCCGUGAGAAGCAGAGGGACUCUCCCAAACCCAGCUCUGACCACGGCCAUCUCUUAGUUCAAGACCCCAAUAAUUUACAGGUAAAGUCUAAACUUUUUGGCAUUUUAAAACUUUUUCUGCCUUUAACUUGUGUACUCUCUCCUUCUUUUUCCUCUUGACAAACUCUUUGUCUUUUAAAACUCAUCUGAGACAUCGUAUUCCCCGUGAAGCUGCGCCGGUCUCCCCAGAGUGAGUUAGACCUUGCUUGCUUUGUGCCCCCACCCCUGAGUACCUAAGACUACUGAAGCUCUCAUCACACCACGUGGCAACCACUCAUAUGUCCGCUUCCUCCA
This is a non-coding RNA of Equus caballus (horse), 1031 nucleotides long. Lineage: Eukaryota; Metazoa; Chordata; Mammalia; Perissodactyla; Equidae. The record is from RefSeq and is a predicted model, not a curated record.